Molecule: long non-coding RNA, 2644 nt
Organism: Passer domesticus (house sparrow)
Lineage: Eukaryota; Metazoa; Chordata; Aves; Passeriformes; Passeridae
Exons: 4
Source: RefSeq, a predicted model, not a curated record
CUCUCCUGAAAGACAGGCUGCCCUCUGUGUGCACCAGGAACUCCUGACAGCUCCUACCUUAAGGUCUGCAACAAAGGGAGGCACAAAAGGCUUUGCUCAAGAUGUUCUAAGGUAAUCUUGCAGAAGGAAUGAAAUGAAAUCAGCACAAGCACCACUGCUUCAGUGAACUUUGGGGACUGCUGAAGAUAGAGGUAGAACUCUCAGUGGAUCAGUGAGUUAGAGGAAAUUUUAUCCUCCAAGCUCAUCAGUCUGGAUCCUGUAGAGUGGGAAUCAAAACCUCAUUCUGGAGUGAAGGAAUCUUGUCAUUUACAAUAUCUGCAGUGCCCAAGGCAGAGAGCCUAGCUAAGGAGCCUCCAAAUCCAUGAAAAUUCAUUAGGCUUGCUCUGCUGAUGAAGACAGGGCACGGCUAAGUGCCUGAAGAUGCUGCUGUGGAAAGGAAGCUCAGUUUCUCCUGGCCAGAGCAGAGACAAGAACUGAAAACGCUGCUGUCUGACAUCUACUGCAGUCUGGUACAGACAACCCUGCCUGCUCCGUGUUCAGGAGGAUCCAGCAGCAGGCAGGUAGCUCAGGGUGUGAGCCAGAAGGCUUUGGUUCCCAGCUUGGCUAUGGGAGGUGAGAGGCUGGCUGGAGUGUUCAGGAGCGGGGUGUGCUCAGUUGUGUAGGAUGGUGUUGUGCUCUUACCUCACCACAUGCGACAGCACAGAGCCUGCUCCUACUUUCUCGCCUUGGCUGCUGUCGGGGAACAUGUGUGGAGUGCCUGGUCCUGCUCCUUUAUUGCGUAAUUAAAGUUUGGGGAAGGAAACAAAGGAAAAUACUCCCACAAUCCCUGUCCUAACAAAUAUGGACUGCCAGAGUGGCCUUGCUUUAGCUUAGUUUCCAGUACUUGUUCUAGUUAGUUCACAUUUUUGUUGCUUAAUUUCUCUUUUUCCGCACUGAGUGCUUAAACCACUGUACCAGGGAGAGCUGUGUGCUCAAUUUGUGCAAUACCCUGCUAACCCCUGUGCAUCUACUCUGGAAAGCCCUCUUUGUGACUUUUUUUGAUUAAUGCAAAUGAAGUUUAAUGUUAAAUAUUUCAAGCACUGUUUCAGUGAUCUGAAUCCUGUCUUCCAGAUGGGGUUCUAAUUCCUUUUGCAUUCAAUUCCCCUAAAGAAGCACAUAUGAUGCUGGAAGCAAACCUUGUCCUGUGCAGGUUGGAAAGCCUAGAAAUGCUGCAGGUGCCCUUUCUGCGAAGAAAUCCCUGUGUAGUGCUGCUGAAGGUCUUAAAAGAGAGAAGGAUCCUGGCUGCAGUGCCCUGGAGGUGCAUCUAGAAUAGGACUCAUGGUUGUGAACCCCAGCCUCACAUCCAUGCUUAAACUAUUCACAACAGCAUAUCCAUAGAGACAGCACAGUUGUCUUACAAUUCAUGUUGAAAGAAAGUUAAAGACUAAACACAGCAGUAGAGGUUUAGCUUCCACCAUAUGGUGGGAUAUUUCCUGUUGUAUUAACAAGAUCUGAGGCCAUGAGAGAACAAUUUAAAAGACACAGUAUUAGGCUUGUUUCAGGCUCUUACCACUUCUUCAAAUCCUACCUUUGGGUAUCUCAUCUCAAGGAUACAAUUACUUUCAGAGCUCUAUCUGUCAUUAUCACUAUUAUGAGACAUGAUGUGCUUCAUAUUCUCACUAAAAUUAAAGAGAAGAUGGAAGGCAGAUAGUAUAAUGCAGUUCAAUAUCACUAAGAGAUGAAAUGGUAUAUAUAUGGCUACACGGGGAGAGUUUUAGCUAAAUUUGUUUUUUUGUUCAUAGUACCCUGUAGGCCCAUCAAUGAAAUUGCAUCUUUUACUGGCCCAGCCUAAUGCCAAGUAAUUCUGUUCUCUUUUCUGUUAUCUUUAUCUCAUUUUCUAAUGAUUCCUCAAGUGCUCUGCUCAAAUUAAAGUCUAACAUUUAUUCUUUUGUGAAAUGUUUUCACAAAACACAUUUGUAAUAUAAAUCAAUGCAAAGAAACGACUGAAUAAUACAGGCACAAUAUAUACAUCUAGAGAUCUAUUUUUAAUAUCUUCAAACUAAAAAAAAAGAAGAGGAAUGCAAAUAAGGUAAUGAGUAGUCUUGCCUUUUAUGUAUUCAUGUCUCACAUAUCUGAAAAAAAAGUAGCUGACAGAGCUGAGGUUUCGGGUUUGCUUGUUUCACAUCCUAAAUUCAAUAAAGCACAUUGUGUUAAGAAUAGGACUAUCAACAGAUGAUAUUUAACUAAAUCAGUGAUGAUUUCUGAUUUUCCCAUUCUCCUUGAAGGAUUGAUAGACUUAACACAGGGGUUUUUUAGAUGUUAAAAGUGUUAUUUUGAGAUGUUAAAACAGAGUGCUAUAAAAUAUGCAGCAGAAUAUACAACAGACGAGCAAGCUGAUAAACUUGUGUAAGAAACUACAGGUGAAAAAAAAAGAGAGGCAAAAAGGGUUCUUAAUGAAAGAGAAAAUAUAGCAAGGAAACCACCACAGAAAUUUAAUGAAAAGAGAAAUUAACAAAGGUAUCAAUGGACAUUUUAUGUAGUAAUCUAUCUAGGAAAAUAGAAAUACCUUUUAGUUGGCUAGUUUGUAGCUGGAGAUUUUGGAAACAGAAUGUAGAUAGUCAGGUUGUUUAUUUGGAGAUCUAAUAAAUUUUGUGUGUUCAUAUCA